UUAAGCGACUAAGCGUACACGGUGGAUGCCCUGGCAGUCAGAGGCGAUGAAGGACGUGCUAAUCUGCGAUAAGCGUCGGUAAGGUGAUAUGAACCGUUAUAACCGGCGAUUUCCGAAUGGGGAAACCCAGUGUGAUUCGUCACACUAUCAUUAACUGAAUCCAUAGGUUAAUGAGGCGAACCGGGGGAACUGAAACAUCUAAGUACCCCGAGGAAAAGAAAUCAACCGAGAUUCCCCCAGUAGCGGCGAGCGAACGGGGAGCAGCCCAGAGCCUGAAUCAGUGUGUGUGUUAGUGGAAGCGUCUGGAAAGGCGCGCGAUACAGGGUGACAGCCCCGUACACAAAAAUGCACAUGCUGUGAGCUCGAUGAGUAGGGCGGGACACGUGGUAUCCUGUCUGAAUAUGGGGGGACCAUCCUCCAAGGCUAAAUACUCCUGACUGACCGAUAGUGAACCAGUACCGUGAGGGAAAGGCGAAAAGAACCCCGGCGAGGGGAGUGAAAAAGAACCUGAAACCGUGUACGUACAAGCAGUGGGAGCACGCUUAGGCGUGUGACUGCGUACCUUUUGUAUAAUGGGUCAGCGACUUAUAUUCUGUAGCAAGGUUAACCGAAUAGGGGAGCCGAAGGGAAACCGAGUCUUAACUGGGCGUUAAGUUGCAGGGUAUAGACCCGAAACCCGGUGAUCUAGCCAUGGGCAGGUUGAAGGUUGGGUAACACUAACUGGAGGACCGAACCGACUAAUGUUGAAAAAUUAGCGGAUGACUUGUGGCUGGGGGUGAAAGGCCAAUCAAACCGGGAGAUAGCUGGUUCUCCCCGAAAGCUAUUUAGGUAGCGCCUCGUGAAUUCAUCUCCGGGGGUAGAGCACUGUUUCGGCAAGGGGGUCAUCCCGACUUACCAACCCGAUGCAAACUGCGAAUACCGGAGAAUGUUAUCACGGGAGACACACGGCGGGUGCUAACGUCCGUCGUGAAGAGGGAAACAACCCAGACCGCCAGCUAAGGUCCCAAAGUCAUGGUUAAGUGGGAAACGAUGUGGGAAGGCCCAGACAGCCAGGAUGUUGGCUUAGAAGCAGCCAUCAUUUAAAGAAAGCGUAAUAGCUCACUGGUCGAGUCGGCCUGCGCGGAAGAUGUAACGGGGCUAAACCAUGCACCGAAGCUGCGGCAGCGACGCUUAUGCGUUGUUGGGUAGGGGAGCGUUCUGUAAGCCUGUGAAGGUGUACUGUGAGGUAUGCUGGAGGUAUCAGAAGUGCGAAUGCUGACAUAAGUAACGAUAAAGCGGGUGAAAAGCCCGCUCGCCGGAAGACCAAGGGUUCCUGUCCAACGUUAAUCGGGGCAGGGUGAGUCGACCCCUAAGGCGAGGCCGAAAGGCGUAGUCGAUGGGAAACAGGUUAAUAUUCCUGUACUUGGUGUUACUGCGAAGGGGGACGGAGAAGGCUAUGUUGGCCGGGCGACGGUUGUCCCGGUUUAAGCGUGUAGGCUGGUUUUCCAGGCAAAUCCGGAAAAUCAAGGCUGAGGCGUGAUGACGAGGCACUACGGUGCUGAAGCAACAAAUGCCCUGCUUCCAGGAAAAGCCUCUAAGCAUCAGGUAACAUCAAAUCGUACCCCAAACCGACACAGGUGGUCAGGUAGAGAAUACCAAGGCGCUUGAGAGAACUCGGGUGAAGGAACUAGGCAAAAUGGUGCCGUAACUUCGGGAGAAGGCACGCUGAUAUGUAGGUGAAGCGACUUGCUCGUGGAGCUGAAAUCAGUCGAAGAUACCAGCUGGCUGCAACUGUUUAUUAAAAACACAGCACUGUGCAAACACGAAAGUGGACGUAUACGGUGUGACGCCUGCCCGGUGCCGGAAGGUUAAUUGAUGGGGUUAGCGCAAGCGAAGCUCUUGAUCGAAGCCCCGGUAAACGGCGGCCGUAACUAUAACGGUCCUAAGGUAGCGAAAUUCCUUGUCGGGUAAGUUCCGACCUGCACGAAUGGCGUAAUGAUGGCCAGGCUGUCUCCACCCGAGACUCAGUGAAAUUGAACUCGCUGUGAAGAUGCAGUGUACCCGCGGCAAGACGGAAAGACCCCGUGAACCUUUACUAUAGCUUGACACUGAACAUUGAGCCUUGAUGUGUAGGAUAGGUGGGAGGCUUUGAAGUGUGGACGCCAGUCUGCAUGGAGCCGACCUUGAAAUACCACCCUUUAAUGUUUGAUGUUCUAACGUUGACCCGUAAUCCGGGUUGCGGACAGUGUCUGGUGGGUAGUUUGACUGGGGCGGUCUCCUCCUAAAGAGUAACGGAGGAGCACGAAGGUUGGCUAAUCCUGGUCGGACAUCAGGAGGUUAGUGCAAUGGCAUAAGCCAGCUUGACUGCGAGCGUGACGGCGCGAGCAGGUGCGAAAGCAGGUCAUAGUGAUCCGGUGGUUCUGAAUGGAAGGGCCAUCGCUCAACGGAUAAAAGGUACUCCGGGGAUAACAGGCUGAUACCGCCCAAGAGUUCAUAUCGACGGCGGUGUUUGGCACCUCGAUGUCGGCUCAUCACAUCCUGGGGCUGAAGUAGGUCCCAAGGGUAUGGCUGUUCGCCAUUUAAAGUGGUACGCGAGCUGGGUUUAGAACGUCGUGAGACAGUUCGGUCCCUAUCUGCCGUGGGCGCUGGAGAAUUGAGGGGGGCUGCUCCUAGUACGAGAGGACCGGAGUGGACGCAUCACUGGUGUUCGGGUUGUCAUGCCAAUGGCACUGCCCGGUAGCUAAAUGCGGAAGAGAUAAGUGCUGAAAGCAUCUAAGCACGAAACUUGCCCCGAGAUGAGUUCUCCCUGACUCCUUGAGAGUCCUGAAGGAACGUUGAAGACGACGACGUUGAUAGGCCGGGUGUGUAAGCGCAGCGAUGCGUUGAGCUAACCGGUACUAAUGAACCGUGAGGCUUAACCU
This 2900-nucleotide ribosomal RNA is filed under the name Escherichia coli. RNAcentral describes it as "23S ribosomal RNA". It matches the Rfam family "Bacterial large subunit ribosomal RNA". Lineage: Bacteria; Pseudomonadati; Pseudomonadota; Gammaproteobacteria; Enterobacterales; Enterobacteriaceae. The record is from RNAcentral.